Long non-coding RNA from Phyllostomus discolor (pale spear-nosed bat), 1285 nucleotides. RefSeq lists it as uncharacterized. The transcript has 2 exons. NCBI's taxonomy places the organism in Eukaryota, Metazoa, Chordata, Mammalia, Chiroptera, Phyllostomidae. The record is from RefSeq and is a predicted model, not a curated record.
UUCCCUAUUUCUUACUUUUGUAUUGGAAAAAUAUCAUAACAUUUUGGGGGGUUUAUUGAAUCAAGAUGAGAAGACUUGAUAACUCAUUAUGGGUCAGUAGAUAGCUUAGUAUGGAUAAUUAGAGUUGCAAGUGAUAAAUAAUUAAACCUAUAUUUUAUGGGAGAGAAAUGAGGUGCCUAAAAGUUUCAAGGAACAAAGAUUACUUAGGUAAUUGGACAACUAGCCAGGACCUCAACUUAUUUAUCCUUUCCGAUAAAGUUUUCAUACUCAGUUACACCACUGACCCUAAAUCAACAUUUCCCCCUUUUAGUAUUUCCCAUCAAACCAAGCUGUUUCAAUUCUCCAACUGUGCUUUCACAUAUCCCAACAGCUGGAAUGGAGGAUUCUUUGCCAUGCAUGCUUAUCAGUCCCCGGCUCCCUCUUCAACCCUCAUUAGGGGAGGUGGGAAUCAAGCUUCCAAUUUUGCGUGAAGGUAUGGUGACAUUAAAGGUAUGAGGGAAUAAACCAUACCUAACUCCCAAGUCUAUGCUUGUAUUCACUCAUGCUGCAAGGAGAAUGUGCAGACGGAGAAGGCUGAGAGCCAGAGAGACAAGCAGAUAAUUUUCAUUCUUUGCUCUCUAAAGUUGUUGGUCUGUGAGCUUCUUACCUAACAUAGCAAAGGAGAAGGAAUUGGUCCCAGUUACUAGAGCUAUUGUAUCCCUGAGUUUGGCUGCCUAAAAAAACUAACCAACCAACCAAAAGAGUAAGUUAGUUCUUCAUUUUCAUUUCUACCUCCAUUCGCCUCCAGGCAAAGAUAAAAAUCAUGACACUAAACAUUUCAACUAAACAGCACAACAGUUAUUUUAUAAAAAUGAGCAGGUUGAGGAUGACAAAAAUGGUGGAAACCAGAUCAUUAAUUAUUUGUUUCUCAAAGUUCUAACAUGUAACUUUCCUGUGUUUAUAACCACUCUUUCUAAUUGCCUCUCUGCUACUUACAAAUGCACUGGGCAGACUAAAACUUAAAACCAGCUUAAGAACUAUUACAAGACCCAUUUUCUGGAGCCAUUGUGGGUGUUGCUGGGUAUUACACUACAUAUUUUCCUACCUAGUGCUUGUGAUGCUUUAACUUAAAAGUACUGUUUUAAGCAUUUUAGUUACAUACUACAUUAAACAUCCUUUUUAUACUCUACAGGGUUACUGGCCUGAAAAGAGUAUUCAAAUAUAGGGGAGAAACUAGCUACAGGAAUAAAAAUAGUGCCUUAAAGGGAAGAUAAGCAAAAUAAUGAGUCAAAAAUUUUAUACAUAC